CCGCGUGUGUGAAGAAGGCCUUCGGGUUGUAAAGCACUUUCGGACGGAACGAAAUCGCGCGCAUGAAUAGUGCGCGUGGAUGACGGUACCGUAAGAAGAAGCACCGGCUAACUACGUGCCAGCAGCCGCGGUAAUACGUAGGGUGCAAGCGUUAAUCGGAAUUACUGGGCGUAAAGGGUGCGCAGGCGGCCCCGCAUGUCAGGCGUGAAAUCCCCGAGCUCAACUUGGGAAUGGCGCUUGAAACUACGGGACUGGAGUGUGGCAGAGGGAGGUGGAAUUCCACGUGUAGCGGUGAAAUGCGUAGAUAUGUGGAGGAACACCGAUGGCGAAGGCAGCCUCCUGGGCCAACACUGACGCUCAUGCACGAAAGCGUGGGGAGCAAACAGGAUUAGAUACCCUGGUAGUCCACGCCCUAAACGAUGACGACUAGUUGUUGGGGGAGUUAAAUCCCUUAGUAACGCAGCUAACGCGUGAAGUCGUCCGCCUGGGGAGUACGGUCGCAAGAUUA
Molecule: ribosomal RNA, 508 nt
Filed under: uncultured Pseudomonadota bacterium
Lineage: Bacteria; Pseudomonadati; Pseudomonadota
Description: bacterial SSU rRNA
Rfam family: Bacterial small subunit ribosomal RNA
Source: RNAcentral